UUGACCUCGGAUCAGGUAGGGAUACCCGCUGAACUUAAGCAUAUCAAUAAGCGGAGGAAAAGAAACCAACCGGGAUUGCCUCAGUAACGGCGAGUGAAGCGGCAAAGAGCUCAAUUUGAAAGCUGGCUCCUUCGGGGUCCGCA
RNAcentral lists this ribosomal RNA (143 nucleotides) under Aspergillus flavus. Its description in RNAcentral is "partial 28S ribosomal RNA". It matches the Rfam family "Eukaryotic large subunit ribosomal RNA", at positions 1 to 142 of the family's 3401-position model. The record is from RNAcentral. Lineage: Eukaryota; Fungi; Ascomycota; Eurotiomycetes; Eurotiales; Aspergillaceae.